GAUGAACGCUGGCGGCGUGCCUAAUACAUGCAAGUCGAACGCACAGCGAAAGGUGCUUGCACCUUUCAAGUGAGUGGCGAACGGGUGAGUAACACGUGGAUAACCUACCUCAAGGUUGGGGAUAACAUUUGGAAACAGAUGCUAAUACCGAAUAAAACUUCGUAUCGCAUGAUACAAGGUUAAAAGCGCUACGGCGUCACCUAGAGAUGGAUCCGCGGUGCAUUAGUUAGUUGGUGGGUAAAGGCCUACCAAGACAAUGAUGCAUAGCCGAGUUGAGAGACUGAUCGGCCACAUGGACUGAGACACGGCCCAAACUCC
RNAcentral lists this ribosomal RNA (318 nucleotides) under uncultured bacterium. RNAcentral's name for it is "bacterial SSU rRNA". It matches the Rfam family "Bacterial small subunit ribosomal RNA", at positions 28 to 339 of the family's 1533-position model. The record is from RNAcentral.